This 75-nucleotide transfer RNA is filed under the name Mus musculus (house mouse). RNAcentral's name for it is "tRNA-Ser". Lineage: Eukaryota; Metazoa; Chordata; Mammalia; Rodentia; Muridae. The record is from RNAcentral.
GGCUGGAAAGAUGGCUCAGUGGUUAAGAGCACUGACUGCUCUUCCAGAGGUCCUGAGUUCAAAUCCCAGCAGUCA